Molecule: ribosomal RNA, 253 nt
Filed under: uncultured bacterium
Lineage: Bacteria
Description: partial 16S ribosomal RNA
Rfam family: Bacterial small subunit ribosomal RNA
Source: RNAcentral
GACGAACCGAGCGACCGUUAUUCGGAAUCACUGGGCUUAAAGGGCGCGUAGGCGGGCGAUCAAGUCAGGGGUGAAAGCCCCCAGCUCAACUGGGGAAGUGCCUCUGAUACUGGUCAUCUCGAGGGAGGUAGGGGCGUGCGGAACUUCCGGUGGAGCGGUGAAAUGCGUAGAUAUCGGAAGGAACACCGGUGGCGAAAGCGGCGCGCUGGACCUCUUCUGACGCUGAGGCGCGAAAGCCAGGGGAGCGAACGGG